AUGCUUCCGGCGACCCGGCGUUGCUCCAUUGCAACACCAGCGGUGCUCCCUGACAGCUUCGAGGCAACAUCACCGGAGUUGCAGCGCCUCCGGCGGCCACUCGCCGCAGUCACCAUCGCAACACCGCGCGGUGCUCCAUUGCAACUCAUGGAGACGCCAAUGGCGGGCGGUGGUCGGCGCAGAAGCUACACUCGAUUCGUGGUCUCCGGCGCGGCGGUGCUCAGUCGUAGCACCACCUGCCUCCGUCGCAGCUCCAUCACCUCUCUCUCCUCUCCAUGGCUUUGGGCGGCGGGGAUUGGAUCAUCCCUCAAACGCGACAGGAAGGAGGGAGAGGGGGGGGGGAAGCAAUUCUCCGGCGGUGGUGACGGCCGGCUCUGCUUCCUCCCGGCGGCGUCUGCAUCAGGGAGAGGCGAGAGGGGGAGAGACGAGGGAGAGAGAGAUGCGGGAGAAGAAGAUGACCCGUGUGUGGAUGACGAUAGGAGAGGAUAA
This 489-nucleotide ribosomal RNA is filed under the name Triticum aestivum (bread wheat). RNAcentral's name for it is "partial small subunit ribosomal RNA". The record is from RNAcentral. Lineage: Eukaryota; Viridiplantae; Streptophyta; Magnoliopsida; Poales; Poaceae.